RNAcentral lists this ribosomal RNA (253 nucleotides) under uncultured bacterium. RNAcentral's name for it is "partial 16S ribosomal RNA". It matches the Rfam family "Bacterial small subunit ribosomal RNA", at positions 524 to 776 of the family's 1533-position model. The record is from RNAcentral.
UACGUAGGCAGCAAGCGUUGUUCGGAGUUACUGGGCGUAAAGGGUGUGUAGGCGGUCUUCUAAGUUUGGUGUGAAAUCUCCUGGCUCAACUGGGAGGGUGCGCCGGAAACUGGAGUGCUUGAGCGUGGGAGAGGAAAGCGGAAUUCCUGGUGUAGCGGUGAAAUGCGUAGAUAUCAGGAGGAACACCUGUGGUGUAGACGGCUUUCUGGACCAUAGCUGACGCUGAGACACGAAAGCGUGGGUAGCAAACAGG